UGCCAGCAGCCGCGGUAACACGUAGGGCCCAAGCGUUGUCCGGAUUCAUUGGGCGUAAAGAGCUCGUAGGCGGUUGAGUAAGUCGGAUGUGAAAACUCAGGGCUCAACCCUGAGACGCCACCCGAUACUGCUCUGACUCGAGUCCGGUAGAGGAGCAUGGAAUUCCUGGUGUAGCGGUGAAAUGCGCAGAUAUCAGGAGGAACACCAGUAGCGAAGGCGGUGCUCUGGGCCGGUACUGACGCUGAGGAGCGAAAGCGUGGGGAGCAAACAGGAUUAGAUA
Molecule: ribosomal RNA, 280 nt
Filed under: uncultured bacterium
Lineage: Bacteria
Description: partial 16S ribosomal RNA
Rfam family: Bacterial small subunit ribosomal RNA
Source: RNAcentral